Ictalurus punctatus (channel catfish) is the source of this 796-nucleotide long non-coding RNA. NCBI's taxonomy places the organism in Eukaryota, Metazoa, Chordata, Actinopteri, Siluriformes, Ictaluridae. The record is from Ensembl.
GUAAUUUAUACAUGCCAGGAAAAUUGUAAUGAAUAUUUUGUCAUGUAAAAUAAGCUGUAUACGAUCUCUUUGUCUUCGACAGCGCACUCAUUCACUUUAUGGGCUCCUUAUGUUCAUUCUUCUGAUUAAAUGUUGCUCCUUGCUACGCCUAAAUGAAGCUAUGACCACGGCUGUAUCUACGGUGAUAGACGUCUUCUCCGGUCUGCUUUGGCCUCUGAUAACUGGUGUGAUCGUUGUUUUUGCUUACUCCUCCCUGGGGAACCUGAUCACCUUACCAAAAUCAGUAUCUUCUGUUAUCGCACAUGGGUUCGGCAUUGGAAAGCUUGGUGAUUUGCACAAAAAUCACCCUUCUUGGGUGCUUUGCAUCUACGGAGGCUUAAUCUGCAUAGUGUUUUUUGCGGUGAAAGCAAUGAUAAUUGGCGUACUCGGUUCAGUUGUGAAAAGGGCAAAAUAUAAAAGGAGAAAACAUCCUCUGUCUGCAUCCGAGCUCUGCACUUAUAUCCGGGAUGUGACUCUGGCGCUUGUUGGCAAAGGCAAGCAGAAAUGGACUGUUCAUACCACCAGUAAUAAUUUUGUCCUGGAAGAGUUUGAGGAUCUCGUUGAUGAGCUCCUGGUCAAGCUCAACGUCAUUUCCAGUAGCGAUGAAGACCAGGACAACUAUGAGGACCAGAAUACGCUUCAGUCAGCAUGUGACUACAGCUCAGAGGUUGGUGCUGAAAACAAAAUGGAGGAAAUGGAAAUAAUGCCAAGUACGUGUCGUGAAUUUUUACACCCUCAUGAGGAAAACAGUCUCAGG